GGGUUGUGAGGUUAAGCGACUAAGCGUACACGGUGGAUGCCCUGGCAGUCAGAGGCGAUGAAGGACGUGCUAAUCUGCGAAAAGCGCCGGCGAGGUGAUAUGAACCCUUGACCCGGCGAUGUCCGAAUGGGGAAACCCAGUGCAAUCCGUUGCACUAUCGUUAACUGAAUACAUAGGUUAACGAGGCGAACCGGGGGAACUGAAACAUCUAAGUACCCCGAGGAAAAGAAAUCAACCGAGAUUCCCCCAGUAGCGGCGAGCGAACGGGGAGCAGCCCGGAGUCUGAAUCAGCUUGUGUGUUAGUGGAACGGUCUGGAAAGUCCGACGGUACAGGGUGAUAGUCCCGUACACGAAAAUGCACAUGCUGUGAACUCGAAGAGUAGGGCGGGACACGUGGUAUCCUGUCUGAAUAUGGGGGGACCAUCCUCCAAGGCUAAAUACUCCUGACUGACCGAUAGUGAACCAGUACCGUGAGGGAAAGGCGAAAAGAACCCCGGCGAGGGGAGUGAAAAAGAACCUGAAACCGUGUACGUACAAGCAGUGGGAGCCUCUUUUAUGGGGUGACUGCGUACCUUUUGUAUAAUGGGUCAGCGACUUAUAUUCUGUAGCAAGGUUAACCGUAUAGGGGAGCCGAAGGGAAACCGAGUCUUAACUGGGCGUUAAGUUGCAGGGUAUAGACCCGAAACCCGGUGAUCUAGCCAUGGGCAGGUUGAAGGUUGGGUAACACUAACUGGAGGACCGAACCGACUAAUGUUGAAAAAUUAGCGGAUGACCUGUGGCUGGGGGUGAAAGGCCAAUCAAACCGGGAGAUAGCUGGUUCUCCCCGAAAGCUAUUUAGGUAGCGCCUCGUGAACUCAUCUUCGGGGGUAGAGCACUGUUUCGGCUAGGGGGCCAUCCCGGCUUACCAACCCGAUGCAAACUACGAAUACCGAAGAAUGUUAUCACGGGAGACACACGGCGGGUGCUAACGUCCGUCGUGAAGAGGGAAACAACCCAGACCGCCAGCUAAGGUCCCAAAGUCAUGGUUAAGUGGGAAACGAUGUGGGAAGGCACAGACAGCCAGGAUGUUGGCUUAGAAGCAGCCAUCAUUUAAAGAAAGCGUAAUAGCUCACUGGUCGAGUCGGCCUGCGCGGAAGAUGUAACGGGGCUAAACCAUGCACCGAAGCUGCGGCAGCGACGCUUAUGUGUUGUUGGGUAGGGGAGCGUUCUGUAAGCCGUUGAAGGUGUGCUGUGAGGCAUGCUGGAGGUAUCAGAAGUGCGAAUGCUGACAUAAGUAACGAUAAAGCGGGUGAAAAGCCCGCUCGCCGGAAGACCAAGGGUUCCUGUCCAACGUUAAUCGGGGCAGGGUGAGUCGACCCCUAAGGCGAGGCCGAAAGGCGUAGUCGAUGGGAAACAGGUUAAUAUUCCUGUACUUGGUGUUACUGCGAAGGGGGGACGGAGAAGGCUAUGUCAGCCGGGCGACGGUUGUCCCGGUUUAAGCAUGUAGGCGGAGGUUCCAGGUAAAUCCGGUACCUUAUUAACGCUGAGGUGUGAUGACGAGGCACUACGGUGCUGAAGUGAUAAAUGCCCUGCUUCCAGGAAAAGCCUCUAAGCAUCAGGUAACACGAAAUCGUACCCCAAACCGACACAGGUGGUCAGGUAGAGAAUACCAAGGCGCUUGAGAGAACUCGGGUGAAGGAACUAGGCAAAAUGGUGCCGUAACUUCGGGAGAAGGCACGCUGAUGUGUAGGUGAAGCCCCUGCGGGCGGAGCUGAAAUCAGUCGAAGAUACCAGCUGGCUGCAACUGUUUAUUAAAAACACAGCACUGUGCAAACACGAAAGUGGACGUAUACGGUGUGACGCCUGCCCGGUGCCGGAAGGUUAAUUGAUGGGGUUAGCGGCAACGCGAAGCUCUUGAUCGAAGCCCCGGUAAACGGCGGCCGUAACUAUAACGGUCCUAAGGUAGCGAAAUUCCUUGUCGGGUAAGUUCCGACCUGCACGAAUGGCGUAAUGAUGGCCAGGCUGUCUCCACCCGAGACUCAGUGAAAUUGAACUCGCUGUGAAGAUGCAGUGUACCCGCGGCAAGACGGAAAGACCCCGUGAACCUUUACUAUAGCUUGACACUGAACACUGGUCCUUGAUGUGUAGGAUAGGUGGGAGGCUUUGAAGCGUGGACGCCAGUCUGCGUGGAGCCAACCUUGAAAUACCACCCUUUAAUGGCUGGUGUUCUAACGUAGACCCGUAAUCCGGGUUGCGGACAGUGUCUGGUGGGUAGUUUGACUGGGGCGGUCUCCUCCCAAAGAGUAACGGAGGAGCACGAAGGUUGGCUAAUCCUGGUCGGACAUCAGGAGGUUAGUGCAAUGGCAUAAGCCAGCUUGACUGCGAGCGUGACGGCGCGAGCAGGUGCGAAAGCAGGUCAUAGUGAUCCGGUGGUUCUGAAUGGAAGGGCCAUCGCUCAACGGAUAAAAGGUACUCCGGGGAUAACAGGCUGAUACCGCCCAAGAGUUCAUAUCGACGGCGGUGUUUGGCACCUCGAUGUCGGCUCAUCACAUCCUGGGGCUGAAGUAGGUCCCAAGGGUAUGGCUGUUCGCCAUUUAAAGUGGUACGCGAGCUGGGUUUAGAACGUCGUGAGACAGUUCGGUCCCUAUCUGCCGUGGGCGCUGGAGAAUUGAGGGGGGCUGCUCCUAGUACGAGAGGACCGGAGUGGACGCAUCACUGGUGUUCGGGUUGUCAUGCCAAUGGCACUGCCCGGUAGCUAAAUGCGGAAGAGAUAAGUGCUGAAAGCAUCUAAGCACGAAACUUGCCCCGAGAUGAGUUCUCCCUGAGACUUUAAGUCUCCUGAAGGAACGUUGAAGACGACGACGUUGAUAGGUCGGGUGUGUAAGCGCAGCGAUGCGUUGAGCUAACCGAUACUAAUGAACCGUGAGGCUUAACCUUACAACGCCGAAGGUGUUU
Molecule: ribosomal RNA, 2934 nt
Filed under: Enterobacter cloacae
Lineage: Bacteria; Pseudomonadati; Pseudomonadota; Gammaproteobacteria; Enterobacterales; Enterobacteriaceae
Description: bacterial LSU rRNA
Rfam family: Bacterial large subunit ribosomal RNA
Source: RNAcentral